Ictidomys tridecemlineatus (thirteen-lined ground squirrel) is the source of this 1818-nucleotide non-coding RNA. The record is from RefSeq and is a predicted model, not a curated record. NCBI's taxonomy places the organism in Eukaryota, Metazoa, Chordata, Mammalia, Rodentia, Sciuridae.
AAAAAAAAAUACACUUUGAUCAAUUGCAAAUCUGCUUGCAUCUCACCAGGCUCCUGGUUGCAAGUGAAAGAAUCCAACGCAGGCUAGGAUACAGCAAGGCAGUGGAUUGGAAGAGUCUUAGGGAGCACCAAGAGUCUACAGGGAGGCUGCAACACCAGGAUGGGAACAGGCAAGGAGGCCAGGCAACAGAGAGCCAGCUAGCUCCACUCCUCACUGCCCAGGCACCAGCCCUACUGGGCACCACUGCCACCCCUUGGUGGCUGGCACCACCAGGUGGAAGAAAUAGGCGAAGCCAAGGUGUGGAGCAAAGAAGGAUGAAGCCCUUUCACAGCAUCAAAACGAGGUUGUCAGAGCAACUAGCAACUUCUACAUUCCUCCCAGCCCAGCCCCAGCCCCGUGCAGACUGAAGUGUUUGGCACCUAGGACCAGGCAUGCUCCCUGCAUUCUCUGCCUGGUCCCAUGAGCCGGACGAGGGUAGCUGCCCCUCCAUGCCGAGGCUGUGCCAACCUCUAGAGCCCCCAGAGCCCAAUGUCUGUGUGAGCCCUGAGAAUGCCACUCCUGGGUGCUGGUGUUGGGUACAGGCCUGGAGCAGAGCCGAUGGGGGAAGCGUGAACUUGAAUCCCCUCUCCGCCACUCACUUGGGCCGGGGCUUAGCAUCUCUGACCCUGGUCUCCUCCUCUAGAAAAUGGAAGUCAUAAAAAUUGUGCCAGGUCUCUGUUCCCAAGCACCCUGAUUUCCCUUUUCGACUCUUUGUAUUGCCUCAAAAAAUAGGAAAUGGAAGUGCCCGGCCUUUGAACAGAACUUCCUCUCGCUGCCUGCAUCAUCAAAGCACAGAGGGGCAGGCUUGGAGGUCUGGAGGGUGGGGGUCCAGGGCUGGGAGAGACACCAGGAGCUUGUUUGUUCCCCUGAGGGUGCCUGGGAGACCAAGAUGAGCAGUUCAUGUCCCUGAGGCCCGCUGACUCUCUCCCCUCUGGCCUCCCCUGCCAUUCUAUUAGGGAUGCUCCACCUAUACCGUAUGGGCCAGGCACAGUUUUAGGUGCUGAGGAUACAACAGUGAACAAAACCGAGCAAGCCCCACCUCUGUGGCACUGAUAUUCUGGUAGGGGAGCAUGAUAAUGGACAAAUGAAUAUGUGGCAUCAUCUGAUAGAGUUGGCGGUGAUGCAUACCAGGAUUGUCAGCGACUGGAGCGGCUGAGACAGGAGGGUAGCAAGUUUGACACCAGCCUCAGCAACUUAACCAGACCCUAUCUCAAAAAAUGAAAAGGGCUGGGCCUGAGUUUAUCUAAACCCCAGGAGAAUGAUUUCCAGGAAAGACACCCCUGGUCAGGCAAUGACUGCCGUAGAGAAGGCAUGAGCACCUGGGCUCCUGGGUCCUAACUCUCUCCCUUUAGUCUGGAAGGGUCCUCGCCAUGCCCGGAGGCCACAGCAAAGGAGAAAAGGCUCAGACAGAGGAAUAGGAGAGAUCUGUUUCAGAUCCUGGUCGUGUGACUUGCUGUGUGGUCUGAGACACCAGCUCAUCCCUUCCAGGCUGCACCUUCUCUGCAAUGGACUGGGAACAAGAAGACUUAGGUCCCAAGGUCAUGGUCAAGGCCUGUGUGGGAUCAUGCAUGUCAAGAACAUGACACAUGGGCACUCAAGAAGUGUCAAGUCUGCUCCCCUCCUGAAACGGAGACCAGAGAAGGGAGGUGACUUGCCCAAGGUCACACUGCAAGUUGUGGCAGAGGGUUGGCAGGGUUUGGCCCAAUGUUCUCACCCCUGACAGCCAGGUCUGACCUUCUUCUGUGGCCAGGUGAAGGGUUGUCAGGGCGGUUGCUGACA